This 419-nucleotide unclassified non-coding RNA is filed under the name Leishmania donovani. Its description in RNAcentral is "gene:unknown". Lineage: Eukaryota; Euglenozoa; Kinetoplastea; Trypanosomatida; Trypanosomatidae. The record is from RNAcentral.
CGCCGUUGUCAGCCCGAGGUGGCCCGCGGGGUGGCGCACGGAAAACCAAAGCGGGAAAAGAAGCGUCGCCACGGCCAUCGCCUGCCAGCUGCUGCUGCGGCGGCAGUCGUUCGACUUUCCAUCAGGAGAGCCCCUCUUCUACCUCGCUCCACUCUAGGGCGGGGGAGGGGGAGCGUUGCCGAUCUCUUUCAGGUGUCGCACGCACGUACACGGUCACUUCGAUACUUGUCCAGCGACCGACGUACACAUAUGCAUGUCGGCUUAUGAUUGAUGGUGAACGGCGUGCCGAUGGACUGUGAGCGCUGCCGACGAAGUAUCGCCCACCCGCUUGCCCCCUCCUUCUGCUGAACCAGCGCGUGAGUGCGCACCGGGCCCCGGCGGCCGACAUGUUUUGGUGUCGUUCUCUUGCGCGUUCUUUG